AAAUCCCAUUUUGGAAAACGGAAAUUCAAUUAAAAGCGAUAUCCAAAGAAAUCAGAGCAUAUAAAAAUGCCCGGCUGACUAAUUAAAUGAAAGGAUUUCGAAACAAAAUCUUUGCUAAUUCGACAAGGAUUGUAUUCUUUAAUUAUUUCUCUAUUUUUUAUUACUUAAUUUAAAAAUUUCAAAAAAAUUAUAUUCUAAUGGAUUUUAUUCUUAUUCUUCGGAUUCAAAAUAGAAAAAUAAAAGAAUAAAUAAGUAGAAGAAUUAAGUUAAUUCAAUCCAACCAAAAAGAAAAGGAGGUUCAUGGCCAAGGGGAAAGAUGUUAGAAUCAGAGUUAUUUUGGAAUGCAUCAGUUGUGUUCAAAAAGGUGCCAAUGAGGAAUCGACGGGAAUUUCUAGAUACAGUACUGAAAAGAAUCGCCACAAUACACCCGGACAAUUAGAAUUCAAAUUUUUUUGUCAUUUUGUGAGCAAUGCUUCUGGUUCCGGACUGCUAUAUUGUCGUCCACAUGUUUGUCACAGUGAAUCUCGAGGCAGCUAGGGUCACAGCUUCCACCGGUUGCCCAAAGCUGCCGUCGGCAGAGCUUCUCCUCCGCUGGGUGCCGAUGUCGCCGACCGUGGCUGUUCUACUUUAGCUUAGAUUGUUGGCAAAUCCCCUUCAUGGCACUGCAAGAACAGAAUGGGAACUCAAAGGAGGAAAACGCUACAUGGCUUGGCUGGAUGCUCAGCCGGUGAUCGAGCUCGGUUUUGUAUGUCUCACUAGGCAAACUUCCUCUCGGCGUCCACCCGCCUGCACGAAAUCACCGUAGCGGAGGAGCUCGCGCGCGGCCGAGGUCAGAAUCGAGUGGGUCAGGGAGGCCAGCGGCCAGCCCACUCGCCUUCUCCGUGGAGGCUGCGCCACCGCGGCUCGAUGGUGCUCCUCGGUGACGCGUGCGGGGAAUCGGCUGACAGGAGCUGCUGCAUGUGCACGAGGCUUCGCAGUGACAUGUGCUCGUCGGCGGCGCUGCGUGCCCGCAUCCUGGGCUGGGGGAUGAAGUAGGACAGAUUCGGAAUGAACAGGUGGAACCACAUGCAUUGCUGGCUCACAAAAUACCGUGACACCUCGUUGUCCCGUCCAAGCCAAACAUGUAUUCUGGAGCUAAGGUUUUAAUUGAUCGGGAUUAGAUAGGUUAAGAAAACACAGGAUUAGAAGAUUAUGAUUUGAUUCGGACAAGUUCUACAAGUUCAGGAUUUAAAAUGGACUAUAUUUUGUGACC
This is a long non-coding RNA of Brachypodium distachyon (stiff brome), 1252 nucleotides long. RefSeq lists it as uncharacterized. Lineage: Eukaryota; Viridiplantae; Streptophyta; Magnoliopsida; Poales; Poaceae. The record is from RefSeq and is a predicted model, not a curated record. The transcript has 2 exons.